GAGUGCGCCCUUCUCGGGUCCCCUAGGUCGCGGGGCAGCCGGGGCGGAAGGGGCUUGUUCAUUAUUUUGAGAGUUUGUUGUGAACGUCAUAACCUUUCGUCCUUAAAUAUUGCCGAUACUUGACCUACGCAAGAGACAAUGUCAUGUGAUUCAGCCUAAUAUCUCAGAGGAUGCAGCAUUCAAGGUUCUAUCUUGGAAGCAGAGACUGUGCCCUCACCAGAUGCUGAACCUGCUGAGCACCCUGAUCUUCCACUUCACCUUCAUCAGAACUGUUUUCGUAUCAGGAUGAUGCUGGCCUCAUACAAUGAGUUAGGGACGCGCAUGAAAUUUGGUGCCGUGACUCGGAUCGGCGGACCUCCCUUAGGAGAUCAAUCCCCUGUCCUCCUGCUCUUUGCUCCAUGAGAAAGAUCCACCUACGACCUAAGGUCCUCAGACCAACCAGCCCAAGAAACAUCUCACCAAUUUCAAAUCCGAAAUCCUUCAUCUAAUCUGGCAAACACAUGUGGCAGGUUUUUCUCACCGCAUAAAAUAUGUUAUAGAGUAGUCCAUCUAUUUCUCUUCCAUGGAAGAGUUCAUCUGGUAGAUUGGACUACCACUUUUCCUUGUCCCGAGUUCUCAUCCCGCAUCCAGGAAGAAUGAGGUUAUGUGGACACCUGGAGGGUGAGCGAGGCUGAGAAAAGCUUUAUUGGGCAACCAGACAGCUCUCAGAAGAGAGGUGACCUGAAGCAGGAUGAGAGACGUUGAGCUCCAAACUCAGACUAAGAAACUAUAAGAAAUAUGCUUCAAUGAAGAAGCUGUUCAAAAAUGAGUAAGAUUGUUUCCUUGAGGCAAGAAAGAAAUGCAGAAGUCUUGACAAACAAAAGAAGAGAUUGCCUUAGGGAAGGGGACUACAGUGAACACUGAGAACUUCUUCCCACGCUAAGACAAUCUUUACAGAGCAAGACUCCGUCUCAAAAAAAAAAAAAAAAGUAAGCAUAAGAA
Molecule: long non-coding RNA, 981 nt
Filed under: Homo sapiens (human)
Lineage: Eukaryota; Metazoa; Chordata; Mammalia; Primates; Hominidae
Description: long intergenic non-protein coding RNA 882
Source: RNAcentral